Molecule: long non-coding RNA, 11286 nt
Filed under: Triticum aestivum (bread wheat)
Lineage: Eukaryota; Viridiplantae; Streptophyta; Magnoliopsida; Poales; Poaceae
Description: long non-coding RNA (TAES_LNC017609)
Source: RNAcentral
UUGAAAUAAACCAGAAGGAAUCUGCACAAGUACUUCACAUUCAUAUUAUAAAUUAUGUUCAUCAAACAUUUACAAGGUUACAAUAUAUGCAAUUCACUAAUUACGUGCGAAGAAUUACACCAUAAUUUAGUAUCUGCAGUUUCAAGACGUCCAAGUUGUACAGAAUGGAACAAGCACAAAGAGUAAAGCUUGUAAGGUCUUCUAGGUGAGCUCAGAGCAUAUGGUUACGGCAAGGUAUCUUAACCCGUCUUCAGGAACAUUUCCAACCUGGACAGUAAGAGAAAAAUUAAAAAAUACAUGUAUAAUAAAACAUUAUCUGCAUUACAUUGAUUUACAACACUCAAAAGAGUCUAUGGAGUGCACUAUUCCUGUUUUAUAAGAGAUACGUCUACAACAUAAAGAGAAUUUCUAAUCAAAUUUCCUUUCAAGGCAUCAACUGAAUGUUCAAUUUAAUAAGAAAAUAAAAAAUGUCUGCAGUUUCAUACAUUGACACGUAAAUUAACCACAUCUAGUUCACCACAAUUACAUCAUAUGAUUACCUAUGAUAUAAAUUUUAGUUUCCUGUAUGUGAAGAUUCCAUAGAACACCGUCCAGAAAUCUGCACAUAAGACAUGAUAGGAAGUGAUUAAAGGAAGUGACAUCCACAACUUGUAUGAAUUUUUGACAUCAUAGGAUCUUGUAUUUUGGUAUAAACACACAAAGAAUGUAGUUCAAGAUAUGAAAUAGUUUCAUCCCAUGGAAAACAGCAAAAUUCAAACAUUUUUCUAGCACGAACAUGACAGUAGUAUAGAAACCAAAAUGUUUGGUGUUAUCUUGAAGUGGUUUACAACAUUCUUACUAGUCUUUUGGGCUCCCAGUCACAUGUGCCAAUGUUCUUAUCCAAUGCACUAGCACUUUCUGCAAAAAAAUAGAACAAGUUAGAUGUCACAAAGAUGGUGCUGUUUCCAGUCUUACAUAGUCAAUCAGUUGGCAAACAUAUAUGCAGAACACCUAUUUAAUCACAAAUUGAGUGGCCCGAGACAUGCAACAAAAUAGACGCGUAGUUGACAGAACACCUGUUUCUACUAGUAUUGAUUUUAGACUUCCAGUGUGUAUCUAUAGCAAGAUUCCUGUUGAGUACAAAAUAUUGAACAGUAAUGCCAGGUCUAACCACAUUACACAUGGAAAGGUACAUUUCUUCUAAACAAUUCAAGCCGGUUAUAACUUAAUUACUCUAUGAAAGAUGAUGCAGGACCAUAGAGAUAAUCGAGGAUGUGAUUCCAAUUUGCUUGUCUUCAGGAAAAAGGAGUAUUAGAUCAAGGAAAAAGAAGUGUUGGACUAUGCGUAGGAAUACAAGUGAAGGCAACACCUAUGCUAUUCAUAAAUAAUUCUACGACUGGCAGACCAAGACACUGUUUCAAGUACUGACCCAAUAACAAAAGACUAAGCUUUAGAAUACACAGGACAUGCAAAAGCUUAGUUUCUGGACAUGCGCACACUGGACAUGUAAAAGGUUCCACUAAUUGUAUGCAUAAAAAGGCUAAGCACAUUCAGGACAGGCAUAGUUCGUAUCUUUACUGCAAUUUCAUUUGCAUGAAGCAUAUAGGAGACAAAAUUCUAAAUAAAGUUUCAAUGUUCUGAAAUAGCAACAAGCAUGUAUCCGAAAGAAAAAUACCAAAUCCAAGACUUAACUACCAAGAUACACUGUUGGAAUUUAUUACUGGGCUUUUGGCCCAAAGCCCAACUAAAAUUCUGAAAUUCUCUUUGCCCAUUCAUGCACACAUGUGAGUGAAGUGAGUGAGGCUAAAGUUUAGUCCCACCUCAUAAGUUGAGAGAGAGUUGCACCUCUUUAUAAGGUGAGCUCUUCUAGCACUUGUAUGAGCAUGAGAAGAGGAGACGUACACGCGCGCUUCUCCUCCUCGCUCGCCACGACGUGCCGCGGGUUGCGGGAUUGAGCCGAGCCGAGGACAGAGCUAUGCGCGUUGUCUAUAUUUUUACUGCUCGGGAAAAAUUAUUGAGUCAUUAAUUAAUAAUUAACGGACGCGUUAAUUACUGAACCGUUUCCGAUUAUUUUGGAUCGUGACGACUUAGACGUGGGGUUUACUCCCACGACCUACCCGGCCCGCACUAUAUAGUCAGGCAGACGUCUACCCUAGCUGCCGCUGCUUCGUAUGGUUUCUCACCAUCGUUCCAGAUCAUUGAUCCGCCAAGUAAGUCUUCCCCAUCCCUCCUUUCGGCGUGCACCGGGAGAAGGACAGCAGGCCUCCGGAACCCCGCCUCUCGUGAUCCUGUACGGGAGAGGGGCGAUCAGGUUUUUGGGGAGCGCACUCGCGCGACUGCUGGCAGCAACGACUUCACGAACGACGACUUCUUCCCCGACCUCGGCAACCUCAUCCUCGACGACAUGGGCGACAAUGUCAACGCCGGCGGUGCUGUUCCCGAUGCAACGUAUGUGAUUCUAUCCUUCUUGUUCGAGAUCGCGGUAGAAUUCAUGUUUCUAGUAUGUGCCCUAGAUGUGAUAUGUUCAUCUACUAUGCUAGUUCACAUGAUUAGUUUAAUCUCUGCUAUUGCUGUAAUGAUAUAUCUUCCGUUUAUUCGGAUUAAAUCUUGUACUAAUUUGCUCAUAUUUCCAACAAUCUAAAUACCUGAUUAUAGGCAAUUUACUACGAGUGGUUUUGCUGCGCAUCUGAAGCCGCCUGCCUUUAAGGGGGUGCAAUAUAAGAGGUGGCGCACGAGAGCCGUCUACUGGUUUCAGACCAUGGGCUGCUAUGACGCCACCAAGGGCAAGCCUGAGGGCGAUCUUAAUCCAGCACAGCUGGAAGCUUUUGAGAAGAUCGACACUCUCUUUAAAGGAGCUCUUCUGAGUGUUCUUGAUAAUUUCAUUCUGGAUUCGUAUAUGUCGUUUGACAAUGGCAAGGACAUGUGGGUUGCGCUCGAGGCCAAGUUUGGUGCCUCAGACGCCCGGAGCGAGUUGUACGUCAUGGAGCGAUUCUAUGACUACAAGAUGACUAAUGAGCACUCUGUUGUAUAGCAGGCUCAUGAGAUACAGUCGCUCGCAAAAGAACUUGAGUACUUCAAGUGUGUGUUGCCGGACAAAUUUGUUGCCGGGGGCAUCAUCACCAAGCUUCCACCUUCGUGGAACAAUUUUACUACUUCCCUGAAACACAAGAGACAGGAGUUUUCCGUUGUGGAUCUCAUUGGUACUCUUGAUGUUGAAGAGAAGGCGAGAGCAGAGGACACACGUGCUCGAGUUGCUGAGGGAGCUUCUAGUGCCCACAUGGUACAGAAGAAGAACUUCCAGCCCAACAAGUUCAAAAACAAUAAGAACAAAACUCAGGGCAAAGGCAAGUUUGAUACAAAGAACAAGCCGUCACAUUCUACCAACUUCAAGAAAAAUUAUCACAAGAAGGGGAAGGUACUUUGCCAUGUCUGCGGUGAUCCUAAUCACCGGGCUCCGAAGUGUCCUAACCGCUUUGAGGAGCGUGAACAUCAGAAGAGUGGCAAGUGCGCUAAUGUUGUCAUCGGUGAUACUGAUAUGAAGGAAUCUGGGUACGGUAUUCUUCCUACCAUCUUUUUAGUAUUUUAAUCUCCUGAUUGGUUAAUUGACACCUGUGCCAAUGUACAUGUUUGUGCUGACGCCUCUAUGUUUUCUUCUUACCAGGUCACAGGGACUUCUCCCGUGCUGAUGGGGAACGGGUCACAUCCCAUCGUUCGAGGUCUUGGUACGGUCGAUCUGAAAUUUACUUCGGGGAAGACCGUGCGUCUGAAGAACGUUCAUCAUGUGUCGUUCAUCAAUAAAAAUCUCGUUAGCGGUUCUCGUUUAUGUCGAGAUGGUUUUAUGUUGGUUUUCGAGUCCAAUAAAGUUGUAAUUUCUAAGUAUGGACAAUUUGUUGGAAAAGGCUAUGAGAGCGGAGGCUUGUUCCGCCUGUCUUUGUCAGAUAUUUGCACUAAAGUUAUUAACAAUGUUUGCCACAAUAAUGAGUCUGAUAUUUGGCAUUCACGGCUUUGUCACAUUAACUUUGGUUGCAUGACGCAGCUAGCCAAUAUGAAUUUAAUUCCGAAAAUCUCUACUGUCAAGGGCUCCAAGUGCCAAGUAUGUGUGCAAGCUAAGCAACCUCGCAAGUCCCAUAAGACUGCAGAGGCGAGAGACUUGCGCCACUAGAGCUUAUAUAUUUUGAUCUUUGUGAGAUGAAUGGCGUGUUGACAAAAGGUGGAAAGAUAUACUUCAUGACGUUGAUUGAUGACUCCACUAGAUAUUGUUAUGUGUAUCUUCUGAAAUCAAAAGAUGAGGCUGUAAUUUUUUUUCAAAAACUAUAAAGCUGAGGCAAAGAACCAACUUCAUCGAAAAAUUAAAUGGCUUAGGUCCGAUCGUGGUCGAGAGUAGUUUUCCAAUGAAUUUGAUCUGUUUUGUGCAAAACAUGGUAUAAUCCAUGGGAGGACGCCUCCCUACUCACCUCAGUCAAAUGGGUAGGCAAAAGAGAGAACCGAACUCUAACUGAUAUGGUUAACACCAUGUUAGACACAUCGGGUCUUUCCAAGGAAUGGUGGGGGGAGGCGCUAAUGACUGCGUCUCAUGUCCAAAACUGAGUUCCCACAAAGCAUAAGAACAUGACUCCAUUUGAGUAAUGGUAAAAUAAAAAAUUAAAACUCUCUUACCUACGUACUUGGGGUUGUUUGGCGAAAGUCAAUAUACCAAUUCCCAAGAAGCGCAAGCUUGGACCAAAAACCGUGAAUUGUGUUCUUCUGGGCUAUGCUUUUCAUAGCGUUGGCUAUAGAUUUUUUAUAAUAAAAUCUAAGGUAUUCGACAUGCAUGUUGGUACGAUUAUGGAGUCGAAUGAUGCGACUUUCUUUGAGGACAUAUUUCCUAUGAAGGAUAUGUCGAGUUCAUCAAACCAGGAGAUACCUACUCCAUCUAGUGAGGAAUUCGUUGUAAUUCCCGAACCCACCAUUGCGAUUGAACACGUUGAGAAUCCUACUGAGGGUGACAAUGGAACUCCUGUGAGGAGUAAGAGACAGAGGACUGCAAAGUCCUUUGGCGAUGAUUUCAUUGUUUACCUUGUGGAUGACACACCCAAGACUAUUUCAGAAGCCUAUGCAUCUCCUGAUGCUGACUACUGGAAGGAAGCUGUUCGUAGCGAGAUGGAUUCCAUCUUAGCUAACGGAACCUGGGAGAUCACCGACCGUCCUUAUGGGUGCAAACCAGUAGGAUGUAAGUGGGUGUUCAAGAAGAAGCUUAGACCUGAUGGUACGAUUGAAAAGUACAAGGCACGGCUUGUGGCUAAGGGUUAGACCUGGAAAGAAGGUGAAGACUUCUUUGAUACUUGCUCACCCGUGGCUAGACUGACCACAAUUCGGUUGCUACUAUCACUGGCUGCCUCACAUGGUCUUCUCGUUCAUCAAAUGGACGUUAAGACGACUUUCCUCAAUGGAGAGUUGAAGGAGGAAAUUUACAUGGAUCAGCCAGAUGGUUUUGUAGUACCUGGUCAGGAAGGAAAGACACGCAAGUUAUUAAAGUCUUUAUAUGGCCUUAAACAAGCUCCUAAGGAGUGGCAUGAGAAGUUCGAAAGAACAUAAACUACUGUCGGCUUUGUAGUAAACAAUGGUGACAAGUGUGUGUACUAUCGCCAUGGUGGUUUGAAGGAGUUAUUCUUUGUCUGUAUGUCGACGACAGAUUGAUCUUUGGAACCAAACUUGAUUUAAUCAAGAAGGUUAAGGGUUUCUUAUUUCGCUGUUUUGAGACGAAGGAUCUAGGAGUAGCUGAUGUUAUCUUAAACAUCAAGUUGUUGAGAGAUGAGAAUGGUGGGAUCACACUGCUUCAGUCUCACUAUGUGGAAAAGGUCUUGAGUCGUUUUGGGUAUAGCGACUGCACGCCUUCUCCAACUCCAUAUGAUGCUAGUGUCUCGCUUCGAAAGAAUCGACGGAUUGCUAGAGAUCAACUGAGGUAUUCUGAUAUUAUUGGCUCGCUUAUGUAUUUGGCGAGUGCCACGAGGCCUGACAUUUCUUUUGCUGUGAGCAAGCUGAGUCGGUUUGUGUCAAAACCGGGAGAUGAUCAUUGACAUGCGCUUGAGAGAGUUAUGCGCUAUUUGAAAGGCACCGCGAGUUAUGGGAUUCACUACACCGGGUAUCCAAGAGUACUGGAGGGUUAUAGUGACUCAAACUGGAUAUCUGAUGCUGAUGAGAUUAAGGCCACAAGUGGUUAUGUUUUUACACUUGGUGGUGGCGCUGUUUCUUGGAAGUCUUGCAAGCAGACCAUCUUAACGAGGUCAACUAUGGAAGCAGAACUCACAGCAUUAGACACUGCCAUUGUUGAAGCAGAGUGGCUUCCUGAGCUCUUGAUGGACUUACCUAUGGUUGAAAAACCAAUACCCCCUAUCCUGAUGAACUGUGAUAAUCAAACUGUGAUAGUCAAGAUAAAAAGUUCUAAGGACAAUAUAAAGUCCUCAAGGCAUGUGAAGAGGAGACUAAAAUCUGUCAGAAAAUUGAGGAACUCCGGAGUUAUUACGUUGGAUUAUAUCCAAACGUCGAAAAAUUGGCAGAUCCCUUCAAAAAGGGUCUAUCACGUAAUGUGAUAGAUAAUGCAUCGAUGGAGAUGGGUCUAAGACCCACCGCAUGAGUUGUCCAUAGUGGUAACCCACACUAUGUGAUUGGAGAUCCCAUGGAGUAGAAGCGGGAGACAAGCUGUUGGUCAGCUGGGAGGAGAGUAUCCCUAUAUUAACUAUCCCACUCCGUGAAGGUGCAAUACUCUCCUGAUCUGCAUGGCAGGUUGAUACUUAUCUUAAUGUGUUCCAAGUGGCUUAUUCGGGUAAGCAGAGAUGUUGUCCUGCAGAACAUCUUCUGAGGAACACACCUAUAUGAAUUUGACUGUUAACGUCGCAAUCCGUGAGAAUUGGGUGUUCUCUAAUAAAUUCAUGAAAAGGCCCUGGAGUACGAUGUAUACGCUCCACUCGCAGCGGUAGCCCAGUAUCGGUCAAGAACUUGUGUGAAACUAGUCUCACAGAAAACCUUUAGUUCAAGGCAUAGUUCACUAUUCAAGCUGUGAUCUAGUGUAUCAUAAAUCUCUAAGUGGAAGUUCAACUUCACAGUCUUCAUUAAGCACCGUUAUAUAAACAAUGUUUUGGAACCAAAUGGUGAGACGUGCCAAUGAGACUUUGUGGGGGAUUGUUGGAAUUUGCUAGUGGGCUUUUGGCCAAAGCCCAACUAAAAUUCUGAAAUUCUCUUGGCCCAUUUAUGCACACAUGUGAGUGUUGUGAGUGAGGCUAAAGUUUAGUCCCACCUCAUAAGUUGAGAGAGAGUUGCACCUUUUUAUAAGGUGAGCUCUUCUAUCACUUGUAUGAGCAUGAGAAGAAAAGACCUACACGCGCGCUCCUCCUCCACGCUCGCCUCGCCGCGCCAUGCCUCGCCACGACGCGUCGCGCCGCAGGUUGCGGGGUUGAGCCGAGCCAAGGACAGAGCUAUGCACGUUGUCUAUAUUUUUGAUGCUCGGGAAAAAAUAAUGAGCCAUUAAUUAAUAAUUAACGGACGCGUUAAUUACUGAAACGUUUCCGAUUCUUUUGGAUCGUGACGACUCGGACGUGGGGUUUACUCCCACGACCCACCCGGCCCACACUAUAUAGUUAGUUAGACGUCUACCCUAGCCGCCGCCGCUUCGUAUGGUUUCUCACCACCGUUCCAGAUCAUUGCGCCGCCAAGCAAGUCUUCUCCAUCCCUCAUUUCGGCGUGCACCGGGAGAAGGGACAGUAGGCCUCCGGAACCCCGGCUCUCGUGAUCCUGUACGGGAGAUGGGCGAUCAGGUUUUUGGGGAGCGCACUCACGCGACUGCUGGCAGCAACGACUUUGCGAAUGACGACUUCUUCCCCGACCUCAGCAACCUCAUCCUCGACGACAUGGGCGACAAUGUUAACGCCGGCGGUGCUGUUCGCGCUGCACUAUAUGUGAUUCUAUCCCUUUUGUUCGAGAUCGCGGUCAAAUUCAUGUUUCUAGUCCUGAUUUUCCAGCGCGUCCCGAUCGAACUAUCAUCCCGCGAUCCACACACUUGCCUUUUACUAGGUACGCACUUGCCUUUUACCAGCUGAUUGGGCCCGUACUUUUUACCAAGUGUGGAGAAAAAGAAAGGCGGGGUUAGGAGGAUCGAAGCCACAACCUCUUGGAGAACGAGAAUACGGUGCAACAACCUAGCCAACUUAUCCACAAUUAGUUGGUCUUAAUAGUAUCCAGAUCUUUUUUAUAUCAUCAGUUAGGUAUUUUUGUACCACAUUGGAUGUGACGUGAGAAAAAGUUUUUUUCAACCAAAUUCUCUUGCCCUUGUUUGAACAUUUUAUCUCCCUUUUUCUAUUUAGAAGACAUUGAACUUUUUAUAGAUUAAAAGUCUCGUCGUGACGGUUGGAGUAACCAUUUUGUAUGUCCCGGUAAUUUUCUCAGUAAACAUCAUGAUAACUUAAUGUACUAUAAACGUGAUAUCUUACAUAGCACAACUGUGGUAAUUUUUACCUGAAAAAAAGUCAUUAAAACAUAUCAACAUGAGCACAAGCUUGGUAUGUUCUGUGUGAGCAUGGUAAUUUACGCAUCAACACCUGAUAAUUUACGUCCAAACACUCUGGUAACUUUGUUGGGGGUGGGGGUUGUAGUUAUACACCCGCGAUAACUUCUAUAGUAAUAGUAUGAUAAUUUAUGAAUCAUAGUUCUGAUAACUUAUGUGCAACACGUUGAUAACUUUUGACCCAGGGAAUUAAAGUUGAAGAAAUAUGUGCCUGGUCAUUUUUGUGUGAACUACAUGGUAAAUUACGCAACCGCGGACCCGAUGAUAACUUGUGAACAAAGGCGGUGAUAAUUUUGAUCCCGAUAACUCAUGUGUAAAUAACACAACUGGGUUGAUAACUUACUUAGUCCAGGUGUGAUAACUUUUGACCGGGACGGCCGACUUGUUGAAAAACACACUUCAGUAACUUGUGUGUGUUGAAUAUCAUGAUACCAUACACACAACAGAGUUGAUAACUUAGUUAGCCCAGGCGCUGUCGAAACAUACCAAUAUGAGAUCUAGUUUCGAAUGUCUCAUCGCAAUAAAUCCUUUUAUGUGAAAAUAAUUUUUUAUCGGAACGACGGUUUGAGUUACAAAAUAUUUUCAAGUUUUUUGAAUUUUGGAUGGAAUCUUCCUUGUGAUUAGCACUUUUCGGCCUUUAGGGCAUGCAUGAAUGUGCAUGUGGGGAGGAGAUCGAAGAAAACUAUUUUUUUAUGUCUCGAUAUAUUCUGUGUAAACAACAUGAUAACUUAUGCUCAACUGGCAUGAUAACUUGCGAAGCACAUGCGUGGUAACUUUUUACCUGAGAAAAAAGACGUCGGAACAUACCAACAUGGGAUCUAAUUUUAAAGAUCUCGUUGCGACAAAUCUUUUAUGUGAAAACAGUUUUUCGAUCAAAGCGACGAUUUGAACUAGAAAACAUUUUGACAUUUUAAAAUAGGGAGAUUCUAGGAUGACACUGGCAUUUUGUCAUCUAGUGCACAUUGGGAGAAAGGUUGAAAGACCAUUUUUUAUGUCCAAAAAUUUCUAUGAAAACAACUUGGUAACUUAAGUGUCGCAGACGUGAUAACUUGCGUAGUACAUGCCCGGUAACUUUUGACCCAAAAAGAGAUCACUGAAACAUAUCGACAUGGGAUCUAGUUUCGAAGGUCUCGUCGCGACGAAUUUUUUAUGUGAAACCAGUUUUUCAAUCCGACAGAUAGUUUGAGCUACAAAACAUUUUAAAUUUUUUGUUUUGUAAAGAAUCUGCUAACAUCAUCACUUUUAUUUUUUCUGCAUGCAUGUAAUUAAGUAAACCUGAUGGACAUCGCACAUAGUAAAGAAAACAACAUCGAAGCUAGUAGUAUCUGCAUGUGUGCAUGCAUGCGUUCGAAUAUGUCGCUUAAAUUCAGUACGGUAGGAUAUUAGCACAGUCUUUAGUUUAAUCUCUGCUAUUGCUGUCAUGAUCUAUCUUCUGUUUAUUUGGAUCAAAUCUCGUAGUAAUUUGCUCAUAUUUUCAACAUAAACUGCUCCAUACCCACGCACGCUAAUAUGCAAUGGUAUCUAUCUAUUAUAUACUAAAAGGAAAAUAGGGAUCAAGAAUAGAGGAUUUACUAGAAAUUCUCACAUUUAUCAGACACAUCGGACCAUUAGUUUGGUGGACCCUCCAUUAAUGAGUAAAUUACGACCAUUAGAAAGGCGGACCCACACCAAUUUUGAUGUAUGACGUCCUGGACUUGAAAUCUUGAUUAGUUCGGUAGAUAAAAAGAGAUCAUUUUUAAUUCUGCUUGCGUGACAACAAAACAGCGGCGUCCCGUGGUUACCCAGGAAAUAAAAGAGCAGCGUCCCGUAGAAAAAAGCAAUGGCAACUACGUUGAUUCAAAAAGAAAAAAAAAACAGCGGCAAGGGCAUGGUCAACACGCCAUAUCGUGGGCCUUGUAGGCGGUGAACUUCGAUCGAAAAGGAAAAGAAAAGAGGAAGCGGGAAAAUAUCACAUGAUACCAGUCUUUACAUGAUACCAUGACACCAACUUAUAAAAUUCAAAUCUAAAUAUGUCAAAAAAUUCUGAAAAAAUUCAUAGAUGUUCACAACACAUAUGUUGACAACUCCUAAAAAAUUCAGAUUGAAAUUCGAAAUACACAAAGAGAAACAAAAAAGACAAAUCCAUCAUGAAUAGUGUCAAAAGAAGACAAAAGCAAAAAUGUUACUAUUCACAUCUGAAUUUGUCAUUUCUGUUUCUCCUUGUAUAUUUCGAAUUUUGACCGGAAUUUUUUAUGAGUUGUCGACAUAUGUGCUGUGAACAUCUAUGAAUUUUUUAAGAAUUUUUUGAUAUGUUUAAAUUUGAAUUUUUCAAGUUGGUAUCAUGGUAUCAUGUAAAGACUGGUAUCACCUGAUACUUUCCCAACAGGAAGCAACGGCUCGCUCAAUACGGCAUGCCGUGGGCGUAGUAGGCGGGCACUCAUCACGGCUCAUAGUUGCAUACUCCUGUUGAGGUCCGACCCCACUGAAGAACGCAUGAUAAUCACAUGAUGUGCCGAUGUGCAGCAUGAACACACUCCAGACCCUCGAUGCCCAAGAUAAAGAAACACUAGCAGAAGAAAUCAGAAUUCGAGGUAGAAUAAGCAUAAUAUCUCCUUUAAAUAUCAAUCAUCGAGGUCAACUAUCACAAAAUGGAUGUCAGUUCCAUUAUUACUUUUAUGAAGCAAAUUAGGCAGUCCUUUCUAUAUGAGAACAAUCUCAUUCUGAUAUCCACGAAUUCAGAAAAUCACCCAAAGAUAUGACUUACCAUAUUUUUCUCCCAAUAGGAACAAUUC